UAAAAGCUUGCAUUAAGCAAUUAGUGUAGUGCACUUAUCGGAGCAAAAUCAUUCCUGGUUUUUUGCUAACUCUGGAUAACACUGCUUAUCGCACGACCUUGUGUCGGCGAAGUUACAUUCAAGUAUCUGCCUUAUCAACUAUCGUUGGUAGUGUAUUGGACUACCAUGGUGUUGACGGGUAACGGAGAAUCAGGGUUCGACUCCGGAGAGGGAGCCUUAGAAACGGCUACCAUGUCUAAGGACAGCAGCAGGCGCGCAACUUAUCCACUGUUCAUUGAACGAGAUAGUGACGAGAAAUAACAAGCCCGUUCUCUUUGAGGUCGGGCAUUGGAAUGGAUGGAAUCUAAACAGUUCCAUGAGUAUCAACGAGAGGGCAAGUCUGGUGCCAGCAGCCGCGGUAAUUCCAGCUCUCGUAAUGUAUAGAAUUAUUGUUGCGGUUAAAAAGUUCGUAGUUGGAUUUUCUACCGUUCGGCGGUUGGGUUUAACGACUCAGACUGUCGGCGGUUUUUGCGCUAUGACUGGCUUGCUAGUCUUAGUGCGGAUUACUUUGAACGGCUUAAGUGCUCAAGGCGAGUCUUCGGACUGAAUACCGGUGCAUGGAAUAAUGGAACAAGGUCACGGCCGAGUUUUAUUGGUUUUGUCGGCUGAGACAAUGGUUAACAGAAACAGCUGGGGGCACUCGUAUCGCUGCGCGAGAGGUGAAAUUUCGUGGA
Molecule: ribosomal RNA, 713 nt
Filed under: Nematoda environmental sample
Lineage: Eukaryota; Metazoa; Nematoda
Description: bacterial SSU rRNA
Rfam family: Eukaryotic small subunit ribosomal RNA
Source: RNAcentral